This 1343-nucleotide ribosomal RNA is filed under the name human metagenome. RNAcentral's name for it is "bacterial LSU rRNA". It matches the Rfam family "Bacterial large subunit ribosomal RNA", at positions 1100 to 2464 of the family's 2925-position model. The record is from RNAcentral.
GUUGGCUUGGAAGCAGCCAUUCAUUUAAAGAGUGCGUAACAGCUCACUAGUCGAGCGGUUUGGCGUGGAUAAUAAUCGGGCAUAAGCUAUUUACCGAAGCUGUGGAAUAUAUAAUAUUGGUAGGGGGGCAUUCCAUAUUCGUCGAAGAUAAAGGGUUACCUUUAUUGGAGGGUAUGGAAAAGCAAAUGUAGGUAUAAGUAACGAUAAGGAGGGCGCGAACCCCUCCCGCCGGAAGACUGAGGGUUCCUGAACAACGUUAAUCGGUUCAGGGUUAGUCGGGACCUAAGGAGAAGCCGAAAGGCGCAUCUGAUGGAAGAACAGGUUAAUAAUCCUGUACUGGCGUAUGGAGCGAAGUGGGGACGGAGAAGUGAAAGUCCUGCGUACUGACGGAAUAGUACGUUGAAGGGUGUAGGUUUAGAUAUUCGUAGGCAAAUCCGCGGAUAGAGCCGAACCUGAAAGUACCGAGCGUCUUCGGACAAUCGGAUAUGGAUGUAAUCAGACUCCCUAGAAAAACCGCUAAGCAUAUUCAUACGGCACCCGUACCAUAAACGGACACACGUGGUCAAGUAUAAAGUAUUAAGGCGCUCGAGUGAUCCGCGGCUAAGGAACUAGGCAAAAUAGUCCUGUAACUUCGGAAAAAGGGACACCUACCCAGCGAUGGGAGGUCGCAGAAGAAUGGCCCAGGCGACUGUUUAACAAAAACAUAGGGCUUUGCCAAAUCGCAAGAUGAAGUAUAAGGCCUGACACCUGCCCGGUGCUGGAAGGUUAAGAGGAGAUGUCAUCGCAAGAGAAGCAUUGAAUUGAAGCCCCAGUAAACGGCGGCCGUAACUAUAACGGUCCUAAGGUAGCGAAAUUCCUUGUCGGGUAAGUUCCGACCUGCACGAAUGGUGUAACGAUCUGGGCACUGUCUCAGCCGCGAGCUCGGUGAAAUUGUAGUAUCGGUGAAGAUGCCGAUUACCCGCAACGGGACGAAAAGACCCCGUGAACCUUUACUGCAACUUAACAUUGAAUUUGGGUAAUUGAUGUGUAGGAUAGGCCGGAGGCUAUGAAGCAGGUACGCCAGUAUUUGUGGAGCCGUUGUUGAAAUACGGUCCUUCAGUUAUUUGAGUUCUAACCCGUGGAUAUGGGGACACUGUUUGGUGGGUAGUUUGACUGGGGUGGUCGCCUCCAAAAGAGUAACGGAGGCUUCCAAAGGUACCCUCAGGCCGAUUGGUAACCGGUCGCAGAGUGUAAUGGUAUAAGGGUGCUUGACUGCGAGACAAACAAGUCGAACAGGUAGGAAACUAGGGCAUAGUGAUCCGGUGGUUCCGCAUGGAAGGGCCAUCGCUCAAAGGAUAAAAGGU